AUAUUCGCAAUGCUUAGGAGGGUGAGAAAGGGAGAGAGCGAGCCACCAGUUAUGUGAGGUCUUGUGUGGAGUGGCCAUUGGCCGCUUCCCUGAUGGGGCCUGGGGUAGCAGGUGGGAGAUUAGAAACGUAACUAAGCUGAGGACAGAUUUACAGAGGUUGAGCUGGGAAUGAAGGCUUCAAGGCUGGUGUCCAGUUGGAAUCACUCUGCUGGUUCACUUCUUAGGAACAUGAAACAAGGAACAGAAUUUAUCAGAGUCCCGCUAAAACUUCUGAGCUGGAGCCAGACAGGGUCAGGGUUUUAUUUGACACACCAAGCAAAAUGAUGCCAACAUGCCGGUCUGUGGUCAAAGAGCAUCACCAACACCACCACCAUCACCAUCAUCACCAUCGUCACCAUCACCACCAUCACCAUCGUCACCAUCAUCACCAUCAGCAGCUGGAUGGGAAGCAGGGCAGAGAAUGUACAGAACGGGUGGUAAAAAUCACCCUAUUGCCUCCUUCCCUACAUGGAGUGGGUUUCAAACUUAUCCCAGCUCAGGACAUCUGUUCUUUCUGUCUGUCUUCUUCGGUCACAUUUCCUGUGACUUCUGAUAAGCCAGUUCCACCCUGAAUAAAAGGCCCCUUUGAAGGAGUAAGGUGUGGCUGAUCAGACCAUCUUAUGAACUGCCUUCAUUAAUUUUCUUCAAACUGCUUCUCUGAAACAAGCCUUCCAUAUCUGCUUGCUUGCUUCUGAUUAUUGCUCUCCUCCAUCCCAGAUAUUGCCCUUUCUGACAUGUGGUUGACUGGAUUCCUAGUCUCCAGAGAAGGCUCUGGCACAGUCAAGGACCCCAAACAACAUUCUGGGGCAGUAGGAAGAACUUUCCGGUACCUGAUAAUUCCCAGCUUCCUUCUGUCUCGGCAUUGUAGUAGUAUCUGAUGACAAAUGUUCCAGAAGGAAAAAUACUGGAGACGGGGGAAACAUGACAGAGUAUGAAGCAUGAUAGGAUUAUUCAGUCAGCUUCAUAAACAGAUUCAUAAAUUGUACUACCAACUGUUUUGUAGCACUGAGAAUAGCACAGUUUUUCCACCAGAUAGAAACUCAAAAACACUGACUGGGACACAAAGUUUCAACUUGUGGAGAGCCUGUGAUAUCUGGAUGAUCUCCGAUGCUCUCGGCUCCCGUCUUCUCUUCAGCAAACAUCCUAGUCACAUGAGACACCCCCUGCGACAAGACUAGGGAUCUAUCCCUAGCGGACUCCCAUGCUUUCAGUUAAAAGCUCUGUCCCAUUAUUCUGUGCGGGACAAACAGAAACCCACCCACCGUGUUCAUGAACAACGGACUGUAAAUCCUAAUCCAGAUGCAUUCUUUUGACUCAGUCACCUUUCUACACCAUGGAAGCCUCAAGAAUCCUUUGAAAUGAUGUACAUUUAGACAAUGAAUUUUGAUCAAACUGCAUAUUCUUACCCCCUCCCACCCACCCUCAUGCCCCCCACUGUAUCUCCUUCCCAAACAUCAUGUCUUCCAUUUUUUGGAUUAAUUUCUUAAUAACUCCCUGAAUUCAAUUAGCACUGCCCUUGGGCACAUAGAUGUGAGGCAAGUACACUGGAAUAUGGAAAUCCACCAGCAGCCACAUCCUGGAAGGGAGCUGCACAUUUGUCUGUAAUCUUGUAUCAACUGGUUUAUCUCACUGACACAUCGGGUGGGGCAAGGGGUGCAGGAUACUUGGCUAAGACAUGCCUGAGUAAGGCAUGGUAAUACAAGGGUACAGGAUGUCCUGAGAAGUGACACGACAUGAGGAGAGGACAGAGGACAAAGGAAGAGUCUCCAAGACAACUGAUUCAUUCUGCAACUUUGUUCAGGGCUGGUGUGGUGCUGAUGCUGGUCUUUAGGGACUAUUGGUGCCUUCAGAUAAUGUUUAGUGAAGGCAAGCGGUUACCAGGUUAACCAGGACAAACCUCACCAUAGUCUUAUCUUGGGGUAAUUAAAAUAAAAAUGAACAUCAAUA
This is a long non-coding RNA of Mus musculus (house mouse), 1986 nucleotides long. RefSeq annotates it as RIKEN cDNA 4930432O09 gene. The record is from RefSeq and is marked validated. NCBI's taxonomy places the organism in Eukaryota, Metazoa, Chordata, Mammalia, Rodentia, Muridae. The transcript is spliced from 2 exons.